AACGAACGCUGGCGGCAUGCCUAACACAUGCAAGUCGAACGAUGCCUUCGGGCAUAGUGGCGCACGGGUGCGUAACGCGUGGGAAUCUGCCUUUCGGUUCGGAAUAACUCAGGGAAACUUGAGCUAAUACCGGAUAACGUCGCAAGACCAAAGAUUUAUCACCGAAAGAUGAGCCCGCGUAGGAUUAGCUAGUUGGUGAGGUAAAGGCUCACCAAGGCGACGAUCCUUAGCUGGUCUGAGAGGAUGAUCGGCCACACUGGGACUGAGACACGGCCCAGACUCCUACGGGAGGCAGCAGUGGGGAAUAUUGGACAAUGGGCGAAAGCCUGAUCCAGCAAUGCCGCGUGAGUGAUGAAGGCCUUAGGGUUGUAAAGCUCUUUUACCCGGGAAGAUAAUGACGGUACCGGGAGAAUAAGCCCCGGCUAACUCCGUG
This 433-nucleotide ribosomal RNA is filed under the name uncultured bacterium. RNAcentral describes it as "partial 16S ribosomal RNA". It matches the Rfam family "Bacterial small subunit ribosomal RNA", at positions 29 to 507 of the family's 1533-position model. The record is from RNAcentral.